GUCGUGCGAGAAGUAUCUUCGGAUAUGAGUAGAGCGGCGGACGGGUGAGUAACGCGUAGGAAUCUACCUAGUAGAAGGGGAUAGCCCGGGGAAACCCGGAUUAAUACCGUAUACCUCCUUCGGGAGAAAGAAGGCCUCUCUUUGAAGCUUUCGCUAUUAGAUGAGCCUGCGUAAGAUUAGCUUGUUGGUGAGGUAAAGGCUCACCAAGGCGACGAUCUUUAGCUGGUCUGAGAGGACGAUCAGCCACAUUGGGACUGAGACACGGCCCAGACUCCUACGGGAGGCAGCAGUGGGGAAUAUUGGACAAUGGGCGCAAGCCUGAUCCAGCCAUACCGCGUGUGUGAAGAAGGCCUUCGGGUUGUAAAGCACUUUAAGCAGGGAGAAAAAGUUAUAAGUUAAUACCUUAUAACCGUGAUGUUACCUGCAGAAUAAGCACCGGCUAAUUCCGUGCCAGCAGCCGCGGUAAUACGGAAGGUGCAAGCGUUAAUCGGAAUUACUGGGCGUAAAGCGCGCGUAGGUGGUUUGUUAAGUUGGAUGUGAAAGCCCUGGGCUCAACCUAGGAACUGCAUCCAAAACUAACUCACUAGAGUACGAUAGAGGGAGGUAGAAUUCAUAGUGUAGCGGUGGAAUGCGUAGAUAUUAUGAAGAAUACCAGUGGCGAAGGCGGCCUCCUGGAUCUGUACUGACACUGAGGUGCGAAAGCGUGGGUAGCGAACAGGAUUAGAUACCCUGGUAGUCCACGCCGUAAACGAUGACAACUAGCUGUUGGAAGACAACGUCUUUCAGUGGCGCAGCUAACGUUUUAAGUUGUCCGCCUGGGGAGUACGGCCGCAAGGCUAAAACUCAAAUGAAUUGACGGGGACCCGCACAAGCGGUGGAGCAUGUGGUUUAAUUCGAUGCAACGCGAAAAACCUUACCUACUCUUGACAUACUUGGGAGCUCUUGUAAUGAGAGUGUGCCUUUUGGAACCAAGAUACAGGUGCUGCAUGGCUGUCGUCAGCUCGUGUCGUGAGAUGUUCCGUUAAGUCGGAUAACGAGCGCAACCCUUACCCUUAUUUGCCAGCGAUUCGGUCGGGAAC
RNAcentral lists this ribosomal RNA (1079 nucleotides) under uncultured marine bacterium. RNAcentral describes it as "bacterial SSU rRNA". It matches the Rfam family "Bacterial small subunit ribosomal RNA", at positions 61 to 1138 of the family's 1533-position model. The record is from RNAcentral.